RNAcentral lists this transfer RNA (73 nucleotides) under Armatimonadota bacterium. RNAcentral's name for it is "Armatimonadetes bacterium (rhizosphere metagenome) tRNA-Trp". It matches the Rfam family "tRNA". From Rfam's summary of the family: Transfer RNA (tRNA) molecules are approximately 80 nucleotides in length. Their secondary structure includes four short double-helical elements and three loops (D, anti-codon, and T loops). Further hydrogen bonds mediate the characteristic L-shaped molecular structure. tRNAs have two regions of fundamental functional importance: the anti-codon, which is responsible for specific mRNA codon recognition, and the 3' end, to which the tRNAs corresponding amino acid is attached (by aminoacyl-tRNA synthetases). tRNAs cope with the degeneracy of the genetic code in two manners: having more than one tRNA (with a specific anti-codon) for a particular amino acid; and 'wobble' base-pairing, i.e. permitting non-standard base-pairing at the 3rd anti-codon position. Lineage: Bacteria; Bacillati; Armatimonadota. The record is from RNAcentral.
GGGGGUAUAGCUCAGUUGGUAGAGCAGCGGUCUCCAAAACCGCAGGUCGCGAGUUCAAGUCUUGCUGCCCCCG